RNAcentral lists this ribosomal RNA (1347 nucleotides) under uncultured bacterium. RNAcentral's name for it is "partial 16S ribosomal RNA". It matches the Rfam family "Bacterial small subunit ribosomal RNA", at positions 28 to 1381 of the family's 1533-position model. The record is from RNAcentral.
GACGAACGCUGGCGGCGUGCUUAACACAUGCAAGUCGAACGGAAAGGCCCUGCUUUUGUGGGGUGCUCGAGUGGCGAACGGGCGAGUAACACGUGAGUAACCUGCCCUUGACUUUGGGAUAACUUCAGGAAACUGGGGCUAAUACCGGAUAGGAGCUCCUGCUGCAUGGUGGGGGUUGGAAAGUUUCGGCGGUUGGGGAUGGACUCGCGGCUUAUCAGCUUGUUGGUGGGGUAGUGGCUUACCAAGGCUUUGACGGGUAGCCGGCCUGAGAGGGUGACCGGCCACAUUGGGACUGAGAUACGGCCCAGACUCCUACGGGAGGCAGCAGUGGGGAAUAUUGCACAAUGGGCGGAAGCCUGAUGCAGCAACGCCGCGUGCGGGAUGACGGCCUUCGGGUUGUAAACCGCUUCCGCCUGUGACGAAGCGUGAGUGACGGUAAUGGGUAAAGAAGCACCGGCUAACUACGUGCCAGCAGCCGCGGUGAUACGUAGGGUGCGAGCGUUGUCCGGAUUUAUUGGGCGUAAAGGGCUCGUAGGUGGUUGAUCGCGUCGGAAGUGUAAUCUUGGGGCUUAACCCUGAGCGUGCUUUCGAUACGGGUUGACUUGAGGAAGGUAGGGGAGAAUGGAAUUCCUGGUGGAGCGGUGGAAUGCGCAGAUAUCAGGAGGAACACCAGUGGCGAAGGCGGUUCUCUGGGCCUUUCCUGACGCUGAGGAGCGAAAAGCGUGGGGAGCGAACAGGCUUAGAUACCCUGGUAGUCCACGCUGUAAACGGUGGGUACUAGGUGUGGGGUCCAUUCCACGGGUUCCGUGCCGUAGCUAACGCUUUAAGUACCCCGCCUGGGGAGUACGGCCGCAAGGCUAAAACUCAAAGGAAUUGACGGGGCCCCGCACAAGCGGCGGAGCAUGCGGAUUAAUUCGAUGCAACGCGUAGAACCUUACCUGGGUUUGACAUGGAUCGGGAGUGCUCAGAGAUGGGUGUGCCUCUUUUGGGGUCGGUUCACAGGUGGUGCAUGGCUGUCGUCAGCUCGUGUCGUGAGAUGUUGGGUUAAGUCCCGCAACGAGCGCAACCCUUGUUCACUGUUGCCAGCACGUUAUGGUGGGGACUCAGUGGAGACCGCCGGGGUCAACUCGGAGGAAGGUGGGGAUGACGUCAAGUCAUCAUGCCCCUUAUGUCCAGGGCUUCACGCAUGCUACAAUGGCUGGUACAGAGAGUGGCGAGCCUGUGAGGGUGAGCGAAUCUCGGAAAGCCGGUCUCAGUUCGGAUUGGGGUCUGCAACUCGACCUCAUGAAGUCGGAGUCGCUAGUAAUCGCAGAUCAGCAACGCUGCGGUGAAUACGUUCCCGGGGCU